Molecule: ribosomal RNA, 260 nt
Filed under: uncultured bacterium
Lineage: Bacteria
Description: partial 16S ribosomal RNA
Rfam family: Bacterial small subunit ribosomal RNA
Source: RNAcentral
UACGAAGGGGGCUAGCGUUGCUCGGAAUCACUGGGCGUAAAGGGUGCGUAGGCGGGUCUUUAAGUCAGGGGUGAAAUCCUGGAGCUCAACUCCAGAACUGCCUUUGAUACUGAAGAUCUUGAGUUCGGGAGAGGUGAGUGGAACUGCGAGUGUAGAGGUGAAAUUCGUAGAUAUUGGAAGAACACCAGUGGCGAAGGCGGCUCACUGGCCCGGUACUGACGCUGAGGUGCGAAAGCGUGGGGAGCAAACAGGAGUUAGAA